GCCAGGCAGGCCACCAUGGGCCUGGCCGGGCUGCAGGAGAACGUGUUUGCUGGGCAGUCAAAGAUCUAUUCCUUCAUGAGCCCGAACAAAUGCUCUGGAAUGCGUUCCCCCUUCAGGAAGAGAAUUCAGAUGCACACCACAAAGUCAAAUGUCAAGGGAAACCAUUAGCUGGGAUCUACAGGAAAUGAGAAGAGAAAAGGAAUGCCGGGAACACAAUACAAAGCACCCUGAAGUCUGAGGAACAGAAGGUCAAAGACACCAGGAGAGGUCCCCUGGCACCUUUUCCAAACCAAAAAUCCGAAGCAGCAGAACCUCCAAAAUCUCCACCCUCAUCAUGUGAUUCUACCAAUACAGUGGGCGCCAAGUAAGCCCUGAAAAAACCCCUCAGGGGCAAACAGGCCCCUCGGGAAAAAGCUCAAGGGAAAACGCAACAGAAUCGCAAAAUCACAGAUUUCUACCCAGUCCAAAGGAGCUCCAGGAAGACCAAAGCUGAGCUGCAGUAUGAAGAAAGGAAAAAAAUAGAUGAGUUGAUUGAAAGCGGGAAGGAAGAAGGCAUGAAGAUUGACUUAAUCGAUGGCAAAGGCAGGGGUGUGAUUGCCACCAAGCAGUUCUCCUGGGGUGAUUUUGUGGUGGAAUAUCACGGGGACCUCAUCGAGAUCACUGACGCCAAGGAGCAAGAGGCUCUGUACGCACAGGACCCCUCCAUGGGCUGCUACAUGUACUAUUUUCAGUAUCUGAGCAAGACCUACUGCAUGGAUGCCACUCAUAAGACAAACCACCUGGGGAGGCUGAUCAAUCACAGCAAGUGUGGGAACUGCCAAACCAAACUACAUGACAUCGACGGAGUGCCUCACCUCAUCCUCAUCGCCUCCCGAGACAUCGCCACUGGGGAGGAGUGUUUGUAUGACUACAGUGACCGCAGCAAGGCCUCCAUCAAAGCCUACCCAUGGCUGAAGCAUUAA
This is a non-coding RNA of Castor canadensis (American beaver), 962 nucleotides long. The record is from RefSeq and is a predicted model, not a curated record. NCBI's taxonomy places the organism in Eukaryota, Metazoa, Chordata, Mammalia, Rodentia, Castoridae.